RNAcentral lists this ribosomal RNA (490 nucleotides) under Salmonella enterica subsp. enterica serovar Enteritidis. RNAcentral's name for it is "partial 23S ribosomal RNA". It matches the Rfam family "Bacterial large subunit ribosomal RNA", at positions 51 to 580 of the family's 2925-position model. The record is from RNAcentral. Lineage: Bacteria; Pseudomonadati; Pseudomonadota; Gammaproteobacteria; Enterobacterales; Enterobacteriaceae.
GAAGGGCGUACUAAUCUGCGAUAAGCGCCGGUAAGGUGAUAUGAACCGUUAUAACCGGCGAUACCCGAAUGGGGAAACCCAGUGUGAUUCGUCACACUAUCAUUAACUGAAUCCAUAGGUUAAUGAGGCGAACCGGGGGAACUGAAACAUCUAAGUACCCCGAGGAAAAGAAAUCAACCGAGAUUCCCCCAGUAGCGGCGAGCGAACGGGGAGGAGCCCAGAGCCUGAAUCAGCAUGUGUGUUAGUGGAAGCGUCUGGAAAGGCGCGCGAUACAGGGUGACAGCCCCGUACACAAAAGCGCAUGUGCUGUGAGCUCGAUGAGUAGGGCGGGACACGUGGUAUCCUGUCUGAAUAUGGGGGGACCAUCCUCCAAGGCUAAAUACUCCUGACUGACCGAUAGUGAACCAGUACCGUGAGGGAAAGGCGAAAAGAACCCCGGCGAGGGGAGUGAAAAAGAACCUGAAACCGUGUACGUACAAGCAGUGGGAGC